This 305-nucleotide ribosomal RNA is filed under the name uncultured bacterium. RNAcentral describes it as "bacterial SSU rRNA". It matches the Rfam family "Bacterial small subunit ribosomal RNA", at positions 334 to 655 of the family's 1533-position model. The record is from RNAcentral.
GGGUCCUACGGGAGGCAGCAGUAGGGAAUUUUCGUCAAUGGGCGCAAGCCUGAACGAGCAAUGCCGCGUGAACGAAGAAGGUUUUCGGAUUGUAAAGCUCUGUUAGCAGGGAAGAGGAAGGACGGUACCUGCAGAGGAAGCCACGGCUAACUACGUGCCAGCAGCCGCGGUAAUACGUAGGUGGCAAGCGUUGUUCGGAAUAACUGGGCGUAAAGGAUGCGUAGGCGGUUAAACAAGUUAUAUGUUAAAUAUAUAGGCUUAACCUGUAGAAAGCAUAUAAAACUGUUUAACUAGAGUGCAGGAGA